This 586-nucleotide ribosomal RNA is filed under the name Aspergillus fumigatus. Its description in RNAcentral is "eukaryotic LSU rRNA". The stretch from base 215 to 368 matches the Rfam family "5.8S ribosomal RNA". Lineage: Eukaryota; Fungi; Ascomycota; Eurotiomycetes; Eurotiales; Aspergillaceae. The record is from RNAcentral.
CUUUCGUAGUGACCUGCGGAGGAUCAUUACCGAGUGAGGGCCCUCUGGGUCCAACCUCCCACCCGUGUCUAUCGUACCUUGUUGCUUCGGCGGGCCCGCCGUUUCGACGGCCGCCGGGGAGGCCCUGCGCCCCCGGGCCCGCGCCCGCCGAAGACCCCAACAUGAACGCUGUUCUGAAAGUAUGCAGUCUGAGUUGAUUAUCGUAAUCAGUUAAAACUUUCAACAACGGAUCUCUUGGUUCCGGCAUCGAUGAAGAACGCAGCGAAAUGCGAUAAGUAAUGUGAAUUGCAGAAUUCAGUGAAUCAUCGAGUCUUUGAACGCACAUUGCGCCCCCUGGUAUUCCGGGGGGCAUGCCUGUCCGAGCGUCAUUGCUGCCCUCAAGCACGGCUUGUGUGUUGGGCCCCCGUCCCCCUCUCCCGGGGGACGGGCCCGAAAGGCAGCGGCGGCACCGCGUCCGGUCCUCGAGCGUAUGGGGCUUUGUCACCUGCUCUGUAGGCCCGGCCGGCGCCAGCCGACACCCAACUUUAUUUUUCUAAGGUUGACCUCGGAUCAGGUAGGGAUACCCGCUGAACUUAAGCAUAUCAAA